UAGAAUAAAAUUUUAUAAAUAAGGAAAGAGAGGGAUUC
This 38-nucleotide transfer RNA is filed under the name Gyroweisia tenuis. Its description in RNAcentral is "partial tRNA-Ser". The record is from RNAcentral. Lineage: Eukaryota; Viridiplantae; Streptophyta; Bryopsida; Pottiales; Pottiaceae.